GACGAACGCUGGCGGCGUGCCUAAUACAUGCAAGUCGAGCGAAGUUUUUCUGGUGCUUGCACUAGAAAAACUUAGCGGCGAACGGGUGAGUAACACGUAAAGAACCUGCCUCAUAGACUGGGACAACUAUUGGAAACGAUAGCUAAUACCGGAUAACAGCAUUAACUGCAUGGUUGAUGUUUAAAAGUUGGUUUUGCUAACACUAUGAGAUGGCUUUGCGGUGCAUUAGCUAGUUGGUGGGGUAAAGGCCUACCAAGGCGACGAUGCAUAGCCGACCUGAGAGGGUGAUCGGCCACACUGGGACUGAGACACGGCCCAGACUCCUACGGGAGGCAGCAGUAGGGAAUCUUCCGCAAUGGGCGAAAGCCUGACGGAGCAACGCCGCGUGAGUGAAGAAGGAUUUCGGUUCGUAAAGCUCUGUUGUUAGGGAAGAAUGAUUGUGUAGUAACUAUACACAGUAGAGACGGUACCUAACCAGAAAGCCACGGCUAACUACGUGCCAGCAGCCGCGGUAAUACGUAGGUGGCAAGCGUUGUCCGGAAUUAUUGGGCGUAAAGCGCGCGCAGGUGGUUUAAUAAGUCUGAUGUGAAAGCCCACGGCUCAACCGUGGAGGGUCAUUGGAAACUGUUAAACUUGAGUGCAGGAGAGAAAAGUGGAAUUCCUAGUGUAGCGGUGAAAUGCGUANAGAUUNNNAGGAACACCAGUGGCGANNCGGCUUUUUGGGCCUGUAACUGACACUGNNGCGCGAAGCGUGGGNGCAANNGG
This 765-nucleotide ribosomal RNA is filed under the name uncultured bacterium. Its description in RNAcentral is "bacterial SSU rRNA". It matches the Rfam family "Bacterial small subunit ribosomal RNA", at positions 28 to 775 of the family's 1533-position model. The record is from RNAcentral.